RNAcentral lists this ribosomal RNA (483 nucleotides) under uncultured bacterium. Its description in RNAcentral is "bacterial SSU rRNA". It matches the Rfam family "Bacterial small subunit ribosomal RNA", at positions 28 to 507 of the family's 1533-position model. The record is from RNAcentral.
GAUGAACGUUGGCGGUGUGCCUAAUACAUGCAAGUCGAACGGAGUCAGUAGCAAUAUUGGCUCAGUGGCGAACGGGUGAGUAACGCGUUGGUGAUCUGCCUUGAAGUGUGGAAUAACGUUUCGAAAGAGACGCUAAUACCGCAUGUGCUCUCGAUUUUCAGAAAGUUGAGAGUAAAGGAUUUAUUCGCUUCAAGAGGAGCCUGCGUCCCAUCAGCUGGUUGGUAGGGUAACGGCCUACCAAGGCUAUGACGGGUAGGGGACCUGAGAGGGUGGCCCCCCACAAUGGAACUGAAACACGGUCCAUACACCUACGGGUGGCAGCAGUAGGGAAUAUUAGAAAUGGACGAAAGUCUGAUCUAGCAACACCGCGUGUGCGAAGAAGGCCUUCGGGUCGUAAACUGCUUUUGUACGGAACGAAAAGGUCUUUUCUAAUAAAGAAGGCUCAUGACGGUACCGUAAGAAUAAGCACCGGCUAACUACGUG